Molecule: ribosomal RNA, 301 nt
Filed under: uncultured bacterium
Lineage: Bacteria
Description: partial 16S ribosomal RNA
Rfam family: Bacterial small subunit ribosomal RNA
Source: RNAcentral
CAGUUGCCACGGUAAUACGUAGGGUGCAAGCGUUAAUCGGAAUUACUGGGCGUAAAGCGUGCGCAGGCGGUUAUAUAAGACAGAUGUGAAAUCCCCGGGCUCAACCUGGGAACUGCAUUUGUGACUGUAUAGCUAGAGUACGGCAGAGGGGGAUGGAAUUCCGCGUGUAGCAGUGAAAUGCGUAGAUAUGCGGAGGAACACCGAUGGCGAAGGAAAUCCCCUGGGCCUGUACUGACGCUCAUGCACGAAAGCGUGGGGAGCAAACAGGAUUAGAUACCCCCGUAGUCCCUGUCUCUUAUAC